CUCAACGAUUGCUUGCUUAACCCCACCAAGCCACGAACCUACGCUCGUCCAAUUCCAGUCCCACUCCUUCCCUUCCCCAAACCUAGCCGCCUCAAUCCGCUCCCCUAGGGUGCCUCUCAGCCAUCGGCGAGCAGGCCCUCCCUUGCCGGCGACCAGUGGCGGCCGGUGAUGCAGCCCACGCGAUACAUCCCACUACUCGCCUCCUAUUAUGAGAUACCCUAAAUCUGAGAAAUUCUUUUGCAGCUAAGAUGUAUUUGGGCUACUACGUGAUGCGGAUGUUUGUUGAAAAGCCUCGUCGGCGAGUCAGAGCACGGCGGCGCGGAAGCGGAAGGGCACGAAAUUCUGUGUAUCCUUGAACGUGCGAUGUCACUGGAGGCUGCAGGCGGCACGAUCUGGCGUAUCAAGAAGCCUAAAAUAGAGCUGCAUCAGUAGUAGCAACCUGCAGCAGGACGACCUGCAGAAGAUAAAACCGCAAAUUGGGUGCUGAAGUACUUGUAUCUGUUCCAAGGUUACUCGAGAAGAUAUAUCAAAUCCAUAAUGACGUGUGGUCUGAUGAGCUGAUUUAAAUGCAAUGGAUCGCAAACAUGUCUUAUGCUGAACUAGUUUUGGCAUGCCACCAAGGUUCCAUACAUCAGAAGACUUGCUCUAUCGGAUAUCAGAAUUUGUUGGCAAAUUAGUAGAACCGAUGUAUAUAGGUCUAGGUAGACUAUCAAAUUGUGCUGCAAAAUUGUAAACUUUCUCCUUUUCAGAAAACUUUCAUGUAUGGAUGGUGAUUUCAAUAAUAAAUAUUUAAUUUUUGUCACUAAA
Molecule: long non-coding RNA, 807 nt
Organism: Lolium perenne
Lineage: Eukaryota; Viridiplantae; Streptophyta; Magnoliopsida; Poales; Poaceae
Source: RefSeq, a predicted model, not a curated record